Molecule: ribosomal RNA, 887 nt
Filed under: Charpentieria itala lorinae
Lineage: Eukaryota; Metazoa; Mollusca; Gastropoda; Stylommatophora; Clausiliidae
Description: partial 16S ribosomal RNA
Rfam family: Archaeal large subunit ribosomal RNA (bases 339-887)
Source: RNAcentral
UUUUACUAUAAUAAUCCAAGAUUGGGUAUCCCGAAUUUAUAAGAGCUAUCAAAUAAUUUAUAUUGGCUAAGAAUAAAGAGGCUGUGGCAUCAGCCUACCAAAAUUUUUUGAUAGGGGUGAAACGCCUUCACUUUUAAUGUUAGCUGGAUAGCAAUUAAAUACAUUGAGUGUAUACUACAAAUCUGUUGAGUAAUAAGAUUUAACAGAAGAAAAUAAUGCUAUUUACCGAUAGUCUUUAUUGUUUAAAACAUAGAAAAGAUACAAAAACGAAUAAUUAAAUUAGUUAGUGUAUUUUAUCAUAAUUACUUAGUUAGGUUAAUAAACAAAAUCUUACUAGAUAAUGUAAAAAUUAGUAAAUACAGGAAUAGUAUAAAAGGAACUCGGCAAAUAGUCUUUUUGCCUGUUUAUCAAAAACAUAGCGGCAUGGUAUUCAUAUGCGGUCUAAUCUGCCCAGUGAGCAAUUUUAACGGCCGCAGUACUUUGACUGUGCUAAGGUAGCAUAAUAAUUUGGCUUUUAAUUGAGGUCUGGAAUGAAAGAAUUAACAAAGAGAUACUGUCUCCUAUAUUAUAUUUAGAAGUUAAUUAAUAAGUGAAAAUGCUUAUAAGGAAAAAAUUAGACGAGAAGACCCUUAGACUUUUAAGAAAUAUGCUUCAGUGAGAGAGAGCUAAUGCUUUUUGUUGGGGCAACAUAUUUUCAUAAGAAAUAAAAUAAGUUUUUACUUUAUUCACCGAUUAUAUAUUCAUAUUAAAAUUACCUUAGGGAUAACAGCAUAAUUUUAAUAAAAAGUUUGUGACCUCGAUGUUGGACUAGGGACGCCAAACGCGAGAUGUGUUUGGCGAAAGUUCUGUUCGAACAUUUAAUCCUACAUGAUCUGAGUUCAGACCGG